Molecule: long non-coding RNA, 397 nt
Organism: Phodopus roborovskii (desert hamster)
Lineage: Eukaryota; Metazoa; Chordata; Mammalia; Rodentia; Cricetidae
Exons: 3
Source: RefSeq, a predicted model, not a curated record
ACACGCGUGAUUGGAGAAGGGGGAGGAAGAGAGAUGUGGAAGAGGACAGGGAGAGCACAGACAGGAAAACUGCAGAAAGCCACAGGGAAAAAGAACUCCAAGAUUACAAAUAUCCACUUCAUUUGAUGCGAGUUACUCGUCGACACAUAAGAAAAGGUCUGUUUGGACAUUCAAAGAAGCUACACAUACAAAGAUGGGUUUGGCUCGGUGCCGUCAAUCCCAGCACUAAAAAAAGUAAAACAAUCUGAGUGUCCUUAUACUCGUUCUUGCCUCGAACAAAUAAAUAAGUAAGUAAAUAAAGUGCAAGGCAAAAGAAAGUUUGCUGCUUGCAUCUGUAGGUCGUUGUGCGCGCGUGUAUAAACAUUUUGGAGUCAGUGUUUGUGUGUUACCUCCCCGG